Molecule: non-coding RNA, 30 nt
Filed under: uncultured Tubulinea
Lineage: Eukaryota; Tubulinea
Source: RNAcentral
CGUUUUUUUUUUUUUUUUUUUUUUUUUCUU